GGGCAUGUUUGAGUGUUGUUUUUAGUCUGGGCACCCAUAUAUAUUUAGCUAUAUAUGGAGGUUUAAGUAGAGACCCUGGUGGAGUUGCUCUUAUAAAGAUAAAGUUUGUGUGUGUGGCUUAUUAUGCGUGAGUGUACGUGGUGCCAGUUGUGAGUGUCUGCAUCUAUAUCGUGUAAUAAAAAGAAAUCAAAUUUGAUGCAGGGUUGUUACGUGUUU
Molecule: long non-coding RNA, 216 nt
Filed under: Sorghum bicolor (sorghum)
Lineage: Eukaryota; Viridiplantae; Streptophyta; Magnoliopsida; Poales; Poaceae
Description: long non-coding RNA (SBIC_LNC009320)
Source: RNAcentral